RNAcentral lists this ribosomal RNA (253 nucleotides) under uncultured bacterium. RNAcentral describes it as "partial 16S ribosomal RNA". It matches the Rfam family "Bacterial small subunit ribosomal RNA", at positions 524 to 776 of the family's 1533-position model. The record is from RNAcentral.
GACGGAAGGUGCAAGCGUUGCUCGGAAUCACUGGGCGUAAAGGGUGCGUAGGCGGCUUGGUAAGUUGGGUGUGAAAGCCCCGGGCUCAGCCCGGGAAGGGCACUCGAAACUGCCGAGCUGGAGUGCCGGAGGGAAGAGUGGAAUUCCUGGUGUAGCGGUGAAAUGCGUAGAUAUCAGGAGGAAUACCGGUGGCGAAAGCGACUCUCUGGACGGCAACUGACGCUGAGGCACGAAAGCGUGGGGAGCAAACAGG